AUGCUUCUUAAUGAGGUCCACCUUGACGAGCUCACCGAGGAUGAAAUCAUUUGGAAGCAUACGAGCAAUGGGACAUACUCGGCGACUUCCGCAUACAGGGCGCAACUCCUAGGGAUGGUCCUGUCACCAAUGGACAGGAUGGUUUGGAAGGUUUGGGCGCCUCCAAAAGUUAAUUUUUUUUCUUGGCUAGCUCUUCAAGAUAGAAUCUAG
RNAcentral lists this ribosomal RNA (210 nucleotides) under Triticum aestivum (bread wheat). RNAcentral's name for it is "partial small subunit ribosomal RNA". Lineage: Eukaryota; Viridiplantae; Streptophyta; Magnoliopsida; Poales; Poaceae. The record is from RNAcentral.